UACGGAGGGUGCAAGCGUUAUCCGGAUUCACUGGGUUUAAAGGGUGCGUAGGUGGGCAGGUAAGUCAGUGGUGAAAUCUCCGGGCUUAACCCGGAAACUGCCAUUGAUACUAUCAGUCUUGAAUACCGUGGAGGUAAGCGGAAUAUGUCAUGUAGCGGUGAAAUGAUUAGAUAUGACAUAGAACACCAAUUGCGAAGGCAGCUUACUACCCGAAUAUUGACACUGAGGCACGAAAGCGUGGGGAUCAAACAGG
RNAcentral lists this ribosomal RNA (253 nucleotides) under uncultured bacterium. Its description in RNAcentral is "partial 16S ribosomal RNA". It matches the Rfam family "Bacterial small subunit ribosomal RNA", at positions 524 to 776 of the family's 1533-position model. The record is from RNAcentral.